RNAcentral lists this ribosomal RNA (362 nucleotides) under Fusarium sp. BBA 69700. RNAcentral describes it as "SSU rRNA". It matches the Rfam family "Eukaryotic small subunit ribosomal RNA", at positions 1471 to 1831 of the family's 1831-position model. Lineage: Eukaryota; Fungi; Ascomycota; Sordariomycetes; Hypocreales; Nectriaceae. The record is from RNAcentral.
CCUUAGAUGUUCUGGGCCGCACGCGCGCUACACUGACGGAGCCAGCGAGUACUUCCUUGUCCGAAAGGUCCGGGUAAUCUUGUUAAACUCCGUCGUGCUGGGGAUAGAGCAUUGCAAUUAUUGCUCUUCAACGAGGAAUCCCUAGUAAGCGCAAGUCAUCAGCUUGCGUUGAUUACGUCCCUGCCCUUUGUACACACCGCCCGUCGCUACUACCGAUUGAAUGGCUCAGUGAGGCGUUCGGACUGGCCCAGAGAGGUGGGCAACUACCACUCAGGGCCGGAAAGUUCUCCAAACUCGGUCAUUUAGAGGAAGUAAAAGUCGUAACAAGGUCUCCGUUGGUGAACCAGCGGAGGGAUCAUUAC